UGCGGCUGGGUCCCCUCCUUUCUAAGGAUUUUUACAUGACGUACGUUUUGACACUUUGUUCAGUUUUGAGAGUUCAAUCUCUCAAUUAUAGAAAGCACACUACUUUCUUCUUAUUUAAUAAGAAGAAUUUUGGUUGCGAUUGUUCUUUGAAAACUAGAUAACAGUAAUUGCUGAGGAAAAGUGAAACUUUUCUUUAAUCAAAUCAAUAAAUAACACAACAUUAUGUUGUACCAUUUAUUCGCUAAUGGUUAAGUUAGAAAGGGCGCACGGUGAAUGCCUUGGCACUAGGAGCCGAUGAAGGACGGGACUAACACCGAUAUGCUUCGGGGAGCUGUAAGUGAGCUUUGAUCCGGAGAUUUCCGAAUGG
RNAcentral lists this unclassified non-coding RNA (367 nucleotides) under Priestia megaterium. RNAcentral describes it as "Bacillus megaterium partial contains 16S ribosomal RNA, 16S-23S ribosomal RNA intergenic spacer, and 23S ribosomal RNA". The stretch from base 247 to 367 matches the Rfam family "Bacterial large subunit ribosomal RNA", at positions 1 to 121 of the family's 2925-position model. Lineage: Bacteria; Bacillati; Bacillota; Bacilli; Caryophanales; Bacillaceae. The record is from RNAcentral.